CCGAUGUAGCUUGCUACGGAAGUUUCUUUUGGAAUACUUAGUGGCGGACGGGUGAGUUAACGCGUGAGUAACCUGCCCUUGAGUGGGGAAUAACACCGAGAAAUCGGUGCUAAUACUGCAUAAUGUCAGAGGACCGCAUGAUCUUCUGACCAAAGGAUUUAUUCGCUUAAGGAUGGACUCGCGUCCGAUUAGCUAGUUGGUGAGGUAAUCUGUGUCCCACCAAGGCAACGAUCGGUAGCCGAACUGAGAGGUUGAUCGGCCACAUUGGGACUGAGACACGGCCCAGACUCCUACGGGAGGCAGAAUCAGUAUGUAUAUUGGGCAAUGGGCGAAAGCCUGACCCAGCAACGCCGCGUGAAGGAUGAAGGUCCUUCUGUGUAUUGUAAACUUCUUUGAUCACCGCCACGCAAUUUUGACGGUACCUGAAGAACAAGUCACGGCUAACUACGUGCCAGCAGCCGCGGGUAGUACGUAGGUGACAAGCGUUAUCCGGAUUUACUGGGUGUAAAGGGCGUGUAGGCGGGUUUGGCAAGUCAGAAGUGAAAUUCCCGGGCUUAACUUGGGCGCUGCUUCUGAAACUGCUUUACUUGA
RNAcentral lists this ribosomal RNA (591 nucleotides) under uncultured rumen bacterium. RNAcentral describes it as "bacterial SSU rRNA". It matches the Rfam family "Bacterial small subunit ribosomal RNA", at positions 62 to 645 of the family's 1533-position model. The record is from RNAcentral.